CCUACGGGGGGCUGCAGUGGGGAAUAUUGGACAAUGGGCGAAAGCCUGAUCCAGCCAUGCCGCGUGUGUGAAGAAGGCCUUCGGGUUGUAAAGCACUUUCAGUGGGGAAGAAAGCCUUGGGGCUAAUACCCUCGAGGAAGGACAUCACCCACAGAAGAAGCACCGGCUAACUCCGUGCCAGCAGCCGCGGUAAUACGGAGGGUGCGAGCGUUAAUCGGAAUUACUGGGCGUAAAGCGCGCGUAGGCGGUCUGAUAAGCCGGUUGUGAAAGCCCCGGGCUCAACCUGGGAACGGCAUCCGGAACUGUCAGGCUAGAGUGCAGGAGAGGAAGGUAGAAUUCCCGGUGUAGCGGUGAAAUGCGUAGAGAUCGGGAGGAAUACCAGUGGCGAAGGCGGCCUUCUGGACUGACACUGACGCUGAGGUGCGAAAGCGUGGGUAGUAAACAGGAUUAGAUACCCGAGUAGUC
RNAcentral lists this ribosomal RNA (465 nucleotides) under Vreelandella stevensii. RNAcentral describes it as "partial 16S ribosomal RNA". It matches the Rfam family "Bacterial small subunit ribosomal RNA", at positions 338 to 795 of the family's 1533-position model. Lineage: Bacteria; Pseudomonadati; Pseudomonadota; Gammaproteobacteria; Oceanospirillales; Halomonadaceae. The record is from RNAcentral.